GAUCCUGGCUCAGGACGAACGCUGGCGGCGUGCCUAAUACAUGCAAGUAGAACGCUGAAGAGAGGAGCUUGCUCUUCUUGGAUGAGUUGCGAACGGGUGAGUAACGCGUAGGUAACCUGCCUUGUAGCGGGGGAUAACUAUUGGAAACGAUAGCUAAUACCGCAUAACAAUAGAUGACACAUGUCAUUUAUUUGAAAGGGGCAAUUGCUCCACUACAAGAUGGACCUGCGUUGUA
Molecule: ribosomal RNA, 235 nt
Filed under: uncultured bacterium
Lineage: Bacteria
Description: partial 16S ribosomal RNA
Rfam family: Bacterial small subunit ribosomal RNA
Source: RNAcentral